AUGUUAAAUUAUUGCUCCGACAACUACAUCGUUAGCUUCGAUCCUCUCGACGGUUCCUCCAACAUCAUCGCUGCAGUUUCCACCGGUUCCAUAAAAGGUGUCUACAGCCCCUACCACUCCAAUGAUAUUUCCACUGUAAAUGAACUACUCUCCCUUUCACCUUCCACAUGGCCACUCAGAAAAGAUACACAAUGUUCAUAAUGUUGUUGAUCUACUGCUGUAUGUUCCUUGCAACUUUGGUCAGAAGAACAAAUAUGUAUAGCAAACGCGUGACAACCUGGGCACAACUUGGUAGCAGCCGGCUACUGUAUGUACUGGAGCUCAGUUAUCUUUGUUCUUAUGCACGGCGAGUUUGUCCUCACGCAAGAGAACAUUGAGAUCCCUAAAACCGGGAAAAUAUACUAUUUCAAAGAAGAAAACUACCAGAUGUGGGACGAGAGUCUGAGGAAGUACAUUGAUGAUCUCAAGGACCCUGGUCCACAUGAAAAAUCUUACUCGGCUAGGUACAUUGGAAGUUUGGUCGGAAAUUUUCACAGGAAUUUGUUGUACAGUGGGAUUUAUGGGUGCUGCCAAGAGCAAAAAUGGAAUGCUUAAGCUUUUGUAUGAGUGUGCACCGAAGAGUUUCAUGUUGAACAAGGUUGAGGAAAAUGAUCAUAUGGUCACCAGAGAGAACUAUAUCCAACCGACCAAGGUAACUCAAAACACAUUUCAUGUUUAGUUUAUUACAGUAGCUUAUAUCCAACGUUUGGGUGUCAUCAGACAAAAAAAAAAUCAUAGGGAUUCAGAUAUAUUCAUCAAUGGGUUCCGCUUUACAAUGGAAGCAAAGUAGAAGUGAAGAUGCUGGAGAAGUACUUGGCUCGAGUCAUGUACCAAUCAUAAGCCCUUAGAGUCUAAGGCUUAGACUUCUAUUGUAAGCCAUUUUCUGACUACAUGGUACAUCUCAAAUUCCCAAGAGAUGCAUAACUGAUGAAAGUUCUAUUUUGUUAUCUAUGUCAAUAAAGACGAAUCCGAUGUUUUACUAUAAAGCCAAAACCAAGUUAAAUUUAUACAAAGUAACGUAAGAAGUCACAUGUAUUUCCAAGAUUCAUGAUUUUUAGUUCUGUAACUAUUUUUUUUUUUGUGAGAUCAAUGCAUUAACCCCGAUUAUAGUAUAUAAAAAAGAAUCACAUCCCAUUACUAUGUUUUCCAAAAUUUUAGCCAAGCCAUAAAACCAAGCUAAUAGUUCGUUUAAGGAUUUAUGAAGCUAAGAACAUAAGAAUCCUGAACCAAUUUUAAAUAAUAGUUAUAGAUAAAGAACAUAAUAUACUCUCUUACAAAUCCACACUAAAUAUAAAUUAUUAUAGAUAAUUUAACAAAAUGUUACAAAAAGUCGAGAAAAUCAAUAACUUAAGCUCACCAUCACCAUACAUAGCUAUAUUAUCUUACAUUACUUUCAACUUUGAAUUCACACAAAUAACCAAAGAAUGAAUAAGAAACCAUUUUUCUCUUAUAAGUUCUCACACCUCCAUCAUACACUCCAAAUCUACAUACACAUGUCCAAUACACAACAAUCUAUUAAUGAUUUCCAGCUACAAUCUAUCAUCGGCAAUCAAGGUAAUUUUAAUAACUCAACAAAGGUAUGGAGUUCAUAUUAACAUACCAUGAAAUAGAACAUCCCGACUCAACCGUCCUUAUUCAAGAAACAACCCAAUACAUGAUGAAUUUACAAACAUCCGAAGACAAUAACAUAACUGAUGAUCUUUAAGUUAUUCUUACCAUCACAGACUACAACCAAAACGCGAUUGCAAGGCUCGACUUCGACCUUAUUAUCACCAAUUUUGAGGGAACUAAUAGGCCUCCAAUUACAGAAGAAGAAAAUGAUACACGCACAGUAUGCUUCGAAAAUUUCAACAAUGGAACAUGUCUAUGCUCUUUUACUUGAUCAAUGGCUUCGUACAAACAUAAGUUGUCUUAUAUGUAAGGAAAAUUAUCUAUGAAUCAGCAUUAUUACAAUUUAUAAGUGGUUUCUUAUGUUCCAAUUUUCAGCUUCUUUUGCAUAUUUUUUUUUAUUUUUGUUUUAUUUUCAAACAAAAAAAUAUAAAUGUUUUUCCUCAUUCCAUGAUAUGUUUCAUUGCUAGAAUUAGUUUCUCACCAAAAAUCAAAUAACACAGAUGCAACUUAAUUACGUUUUGCUUCACACCUUUAAAUUAAUAUUAUUCUCUAAAAUAAAAUUUUAAAUGUCGUUCCUUUUAUAUACAGUCCAUAUGGUACUUAACAGUAUAUGUAUGUAUGUUGUCUAAAGAAAACAUAUAUUUCACUACUCAAAUCAUAAAACAUAUUCGUUAACCACUACCAAAUAAAUCCAAAAAAUAUUAAUUUCUUUUAACAUAUUUUCAUCUACAUAUUUUUGAAAAAAAAAAAAAUUUACUAAGACGAUAAAAUAAAUUUUAAAUUUAAAAAAAAAAAAAAAUACAUGAACCGGCGCAUUAUCUGAGGUUUCAAAUCAGUGCUUCGUUACAACUUUUGGUAAAAAGGGAACCGAUGAGUAAUGGGCCUUGAGUACAAAACGAAGCCCAAUAACAACUUAACAGCCCAAUAACAAUUUAAGAGCACAAUACCGAACAGAGAGACUUGAGUCGAUUUCAUCUGAAGAAUCCUGGCCGGCGAAGACCACAACAAAAAAGUUCCGAGGAAUAAGUAAAAGGAGGAAGAAGAUGAUCUACCGAAAGUGGAGUCUGCUUUCCGGACCACCGGUUAUACUCGGCGGAGCCGUAGUUGCUGCCGUCGCCGUUGGCAUCCUCGUACAGAACGUUACCAAAGGGGAACAAAAGAAGAAUGUCUCAUCAAACAAGUGAAGAGGGAAAAGAUGGGAAGAAGAUGCUACAAAUAAACUGUCUAGUGUGUGAGUUGAAAUAUUUAGUUCAUGCAGUGUAAGCUCAAUAAUUAAUGAUUUUGGAAGCUUUUUCAAAUAUGCACAUCUCUUUUGGUGUUUUGGAUUCUUAUUCACAAUAAUUAUAUUUCAUUUUGCGCA
Molecule: RNA transcript, 3010 nt
Organism: Brassica napus (rape)
Lineage: Eukaryota; Viridiplantae; Streptophyta; Magnoliopsida; Brassicales; Brassicaceae
Gene name: fructose-1,6-bisphosphatase, chloroplastic-like
Exons: 2
Source: RefSeq, a predicted model, not a curated record